This 1310-nucleotide small RNA is filed under the name Rattus norvegicus (Norway rat). RNAcentral's name for it is "hypothetical LOC100359776". Lineage: Eukaryota; Metazoa; Chordata; Mammalia; Rodentia; Muridae. The record is from RNAcentral.
UUUGGUAGCUGGGGGUGGGUGUGAGGUGGGUGUGGAGAAAGCCCACUCAUCAGCUCAUCAGUAGUACCAGGUCCGAGCAGAUCCCUGGUGAUCAUGCGUCACCAUGACGACAGCGACAGCGCCGGUCCAGACAGAGAGGAUUUGAGUCCCUGAGAUGCAGACCUGCCGUUAGCACUUUUCAACCUCAGUCUGAAUUGUGGAAACCACAGCCUUUGCUCUCAGAAUCCCAAGAGUGUUCGUUUAAAUAUUUUGGGAGUGUGCCCACACCCUGGGUGACACUACCACGGGCUGUCCAGGUGCUGCAGCAGGUGUCCAGUUGUCCCAGCCAUGACUCAGCCGGACUCUUCUGGCCUCUCAGCGUAUGCGCUGGCUCCCUGUGCGAUCUCUGCUCCAGCCUCCUGCAGCUCUUGACCCCUGCACACUGAAGGAGGCAAAGCCUCUGCUAACGUCUUGACUGAUGGAAUUAAGGAAGACGAGAAAAUCCGGAAGCGUAAAUCCUUCCCAAGAUGUCUGGGGAUUGAGAGCUGGAAGUGAGUGGCAUAGAGGCAAAACCAUUGGGCAGAAUUGUCGGAGGAAAGAUCCCUGUUGCUCUCAGCAUUGCCAAUGGCAUCCCUCCAACAUUUGGUGGUGAGGCAGAGCCCUCACAGGGCAGAAGGCAGAACUGUCUCAAGUCUCAACUUUGUGGUAGAAGUUACAGAGUGAUGGCAAGAAGAUUGGUUUUGCAGGGCCACCAUCCUGAUGAGAUCAGACAAGAAGAGGAGGCCGAGAGUGAUGUUUCCUCCAUCGUGGAAGCUAGCUGUCAGGCCACCAGUGAUUCUGGAUGGAAGGAUAAGUAGACACUCAACACAGACUCCCAAGACUGGACCUCCUAUGACCACCUAAUGGAUUUCUUCUUGGACCAAGGGAUGCACGACACUUUUGAGGAUAAGUCACUAGAGCUCAGCAUAGUCCUAGAACAUCAAGAAGUUUUGCCAAGAACCAGCAGAACUGUGAGAGGCUGAAGGCCUUAAUUCUAAUGGCAGUUUUGGCUAAAGGACAAAAGCUACUGUGACAUCAGAAUGAUGCUUUGAAAUGGCUGCCUGGUGUGAUGGGAGGAAAAAGCAAGCUUAAAUUCUUGCGGCCCACCUCCACUUACUGUUCCUUUGAACUUACUUUAAGUCACACGGCCAGGGAUGGGUGAAGCUGACAUCUGAACCUCUCCUGAUGUCAGAGCCCCCAUUUUUUCCCUACUUUAAGUAACUGCUCUUGAGGUUGCAGUUUCCAGCUUUAAGAGCAAAAUCUGUUUCUCUCAUUAAACCAACCUGUGUGAA